Molecule: ribosomal RNA, 520 nt
Filed under: uncultured bacterium
Lineage: Bacteria
Description: bacterial SSU rRNA
Rfam family: Bacterial small subunit ribosomal RNA
Source: RNAcentral
AGAGUUUGAUCCUGGCUCAGAUUGAACGCUGGCGGCAUGCUUUACACAUGCAAGUCGAACGGCAGCGGGGGCUUCGGCCUGCCGGCGAGUGGCGAACGGGUGAGUAAUGCAUCGGAACGUGCCCAGUCAUGGGGGAUAACUACGCGAAAGCGUAGCUAAUACCGCAUACGCCCUGAGGGGGAAAGCGGGGGAUCGCAAGACCUCGCGUGAUUGGAGCGGCCGAUGUCGGAUUAGCUAGUUGGUGGGGUAAAGGCCUACCAAGGCGACGAUCCGUAGCGGGUCUGAGAGGAUGAUCCGCCACACUGGGACUGAGACACGGCCCAGACUCCUACGGGAGGCAGCAGUGGGGAAUUUUGGACAAUGGGGGCAACCCUGAUCCAGCCAUGCCGCGUGAGUGAAGAAGGCCUUCGGGUUGUAAAGCUCUUUCAGACGGAAAGAAAUCGGGUGGGUGAAUAUCCUGCCUGGAUGACGGUACUGUCAGAAGAAGCACCGGCUAACUUCGUGCCAGCAGCCGCGGUAA